Molecule: long non-coding RNA, 1370 nt
Organism: Prosopis cineraria
Lineage: Eukaryota; Viridiplantae; Streptophyta; Magnoliopsida; Fabales; Fabaceae
Exons: 4
Source: RefSeq, a predicted model, not a curated record
GAUGCUACCCCCUUUCUCCUUCUCCUAAAAAAAUCCCUAACCCUUCUGCUAUCCAAUUCCUUUUUCUUCAUUCUUUCUUCGUUCCUUUGCCAUCCCUCAGCUCAUUCCUCCCCUACUCGUCUUCCCUUUCUCUAUAUUUUUUCCUAUGCCUCCCAUGCUCUUGAUUUUUCCCUUCAUAUUCUCACCUAUGUCUGGAUCUACAGCUUCUUCUUAAGCACCGUGCAGGUAUGUGUAAGUGUGUUACAUCAGUUUGGCAUUAAAGCUUGUGUUUCUACCAUCCUUGGUUGUUUUCAUUGCUUGAAAGCCUCUAAAAUCCCGUUUCACACUGUCUACCUAGAAACCUCCAUUUCCCAACAUUAUAUUGUAAAAAUAUCACCACCAUCAUGUUCAAGAGGAGGAAUUUAGUUAGAACCCAAAUUUUCACCUCCAUCCUCCAUCACACACUCCUUCAUGUACUAGUAAAGUGAUCUGCGUGUGGUCGUCACAUGCCCUAUGUGCUGGUGCCAGUCCUUGUGUGUGACUUCACGUGUCAACAUGUACAGUGCCUAAAAUCUAAUUUUUUUUUGCAUUUUGGGUGUAUUCGAGGAGUUUUCUACAGUUUUGAUUCAAGUUGAGUGUAACAUCCUAAAAAUUUUAAGACUCAAAUUUAUUUAAAAAAAAUAAAUAAAAAUAAAAUAAAAUAUCUAUAAUUAAAUUAAAAUUUAGAAUAAUUUAAUAGAGGCCCAGAAUUUGAAUUUUACUAAGCAAAAGUUUGGUUUUAUUUGAUUUUUAACUAUGGGAAAAAUUACCAAAGUUGACCCGGGGUUUUGUGCAAUAAUAAAAAAUGUUGGGCCCUUUCUUGUAAUUUUCCCCAAAAUUUUUGACCAGCAUUUUAAGGAGCAAACAGAUGCAGAAAACGCAGAAAAUGAACAAGGGAAGCAAACGCACAAACGGGAGAGAGAGAGAGAGGAAGAAGAGAAGAGAAAGGGAGGGAGUUAGGCUUGGAUCUAGGAGUCUUUGCGACCGUUGCGAGCUCGGCUACACGAUAGAAAAUUGUUGGUGGAACUUAUUGAGAAGUAAGGAACAAGCCGAGCCCUAUUUUGUACAAGGGGAACCCUUUUAGUACCAAAGGGUUGAGGUCCAGACGAAGGAUCCAGUGGUGGACGGGGAAAGGAGCAAAGCUAGGGGUUUGCUUGUGAUUUGUAAAGAACUGCAACCCCUUUCUUUUGAGCAAAUAUAUUGUAAUGUAUUUAAGAUUAGGGUGCCAGUAAGAUAUGAUUAUGUGUGUGUGUGUGAAUAUGUGUGGAUUGUGUGCUUGUGUAUGAAUUUUUGUCUGUUUGCAGACUUGUGGCUAGGAAACUUGGUUAUGGUGUGUGGUUUUGAUGGAUUUA